GGAGUCCGAAGUCAAAAGGGAACUAGAGGGCUUGACACAUCCCUUGCAUCUUCCAUUUACUCUGACCACAGUCCCUCCCUGUUCUCACAAGUGGAGCUAAGCCCUGCUUCCCUUCCUCUUGAUUCCCAGCCAGCUACAUGACUGCCUGAAGUUACAUUGUAGAUGCUGAAAUCACUGCACCUUAAAAACAAAAAGAUUAAGCUGCACUGCAUUCUUAUGUAUAGAGGCAUGUUAUAG
This 237-nucleotide long non-coding RNA is filed under the name Phasianus colchicus (ring-necked pheasant). RNAcentral's name for it is "lncRNA (ENSPCLG00000020831.1)". Lineage: Eukaryota; Metazoa; Chordata; Aves; Galliformes; Phasianidae. The record is from RNAcentral.